Molecule: long non-coding RNA, 1486 nt
Organism: Canis lupus familiaris (dog)
Lineage: Eukaryota; Metazoa; Chordata; Mammalia; Carnivora; Canidae
Exons: 4
Source: RefSeq, a predicted model, not a curated record
GGUCAGCUCUGGGGAGCCUGCUCAAUCCCAGGAGGAAUUCUGUAUCUGGACAAGCACUGUGCCAAAGCAGAAAGACCAUGACAGAGGCAAGGAAGUCAGAGGUUUCUUUAUUUCCUCUUCUCAGCAUGCUGUGGCUUCCAAGGGCAUCAUUGCUCAGCUGGACAUCAAAGACUUGGUGCCACCAACUCUCCCACCAAAGCAAGCCUUGCAGUGCCCCACACCGACUCAGAGCCACCCCAGACCCACGUGGGAUAUCUUCUGAGAGACGUGGAAUGAAAGUUCACAGGUGUUUAGAUUGAGAGGAACCUGACUUGAUUGGCUCAACCCAAGGAAGUGCACCUUGAGGAGACUCACUUGUCAAAGGACCUGACUUCAAUAAUGAGACCUCGGACUUGCCCAAGCUUGAGCCUUGCACAACAUAGGUGAGAGACUUUCUGGUGGAUUCAGGGAGAGGGUAAGCAUCUUUUUCACUUGAAAGAAAUGUAAAUAAUUGCUGUCCAGAGAGUGGACUUUGCUGGUUUUGAAACGUUUCCAAAUUAUUUGGUGCUCCUCCCACUGAGAAGCUGGAUCCAUGUGCCUUCCCCUUAAAUAUGGGCUGAACCAAGUGGCAUAGAGUGAACAGAUUGACACUCCAAAACUGAAAGUUGGUCAGAAGGCUCCAUGAAGCUUCUAAGUAGCUGCCUUGGGACGCACACUUUAGAAAUCCUGAGCUACCACAUAAGAGGUCAGACUGCUCCAUGGUUUCACAAUGCUGUGAAGGAGCCCAGGCCACAGGAAGAGGCCACGUGUAUGUGUUGACAGCCACCACCGGGAACCCGUCUAACUGCCAGCACCAGCCACAGGCACAUGAGUGAAGCCCGUCACUGGGACGACCGCAGCCUUCAAGUCUUCCACAUUGAGAUCGUAGACAUCAUGGCUGGAAGCUCGUUCACUUGAUAUUUUGCCAUGACACAUCUGCAAUUAUUCCAAAUGGAGCUGUGACUAAAGCAGGACCCCAAGGAAAUGCAGCUGUCAAGGGCAUGGAAGAGAGAUAGAGAUAAAUAUCACAUCAGAAAUCCUGAAGAACUGGCUUGUCAACACUAUUAGGUCUCUGCUCUUUGAAGUGAAUACAGUGAGCAAGAAAGAGGUAAAUAAAAGUUUUUACAUGGCUUGAAAAUGUCAACAUCAUUUUUCUCUCCUGCUGAAGCCUACUGGACAUGGGGACAGUUUGGGGGGCAGGUGCAAAGACUGUCCAGGUCUAUAAGAGUGGCUGGAUCACAAUCAGGGUGGGGGUGGCAAAAAGAUGAUCCACCUAAACCCUCCAUGAUGUUAAAGCAAUUGGAGAAAGAGCAGGCGAAAAGAAGCUUGAAGUCCAGACUUCUGAGAAGAUGUCAUCCUUUGAAGAUCCUUUCAAGUACAAAGCACAAGGGCUCAAAUGAUUCUGACACAGGCGAGGAAAUAAGUAUCUACAAACACACACAUCAGGCAGAGCUGUGCACAUGAGGCA